Molecule: long non-coding RNA, 341 nt
Organism: Gadus macrocephalus (Pacific cod)
Lineage: Eukaryota; Metazoa; Chordata; Actinopteri; Gadiformes; Gadidae
Exons: 2
Source: RefSeq, a predicted model, not a curated record
AAUAAGGCCUUUGGUCUGGGCUAGAGUCCUAGAAGCUGGGUUAGAGUCCUAGAAUAUUUUCCUUUAGGUCGGGUUGUAGUCCCGACUUGGGUUCCAGAGAGACUGUUGAUCUGAUCUUAAAUACAUUGCACUUUCAAUUUUACUUACUAAAAAGCCUUUUUAACUUUCAAUUUAAUUUUCUCUUAAAUACAUUGCACUUUCUAUUUUACUCAUUUCUUGCAUAUGUUUUCUUUUACUUAUCUAUUAUUUUAUUUUAUUGUAUGACAAUGUUUAUAUGUGAAGCACUUUGAGUCUGCCUUGUGUAUGAAAAGUGCUAUAUAAAUAAAGUUGCCUUGCCUUGC